ACUCAAAUGAAUUGACGGGGGCCCGCACAAGCAGCGGAGCAUGUGGUUUAAUUCGAUGCAACGCGAAGAACCUUACCAGGUCUUGACAUCGACGUAAUCCGUAGAGAUACGGGUGCCUUCGGGCAACGGAAGACAGGUGGUGCAUGGUUGUCGUCAGCUCGUGUCGUGAGAUGUUGGGUUAAGUCCCGCAACGAGCGCAACCCUUGUCGUCAGUUACUAACGCGUAGAGGCGAGGACUCUGACGAGACUGCCGGGGACAACUCGGAGGAAGGUGGGGACGACGUCAAAUCAUCAUGCCCCUUAUGACCUGGGCUACACACGUGCUACAAUGGUGGUAACAAAGAGGAGCGAGCCCGCAAGGGGGAGCGGAUCUCAGAAAAGCCAUCCCAGUUCGGAUUGUGGGCUGCAACCCGCCCACAUGAAGUUGGAGUUGCUAGUAAUCGCGAAUCAGCAUGUCGCGGUGAAUACGUUCCCGGGCCUUGUACACACCGCCCGU
This 496-nucleotide ribosomal RNA is filed under the name uncultured bacterium. RNAcentral describes it as "bacterial SSU rRNA". It matches the Rfam family "Bacterial small subunit ribosomal RNA", at positions 899 to 1397 of the family's 1533-position model. The record is from RNAcentral.